RNAcentral lists this ribosomal RNA (253 nucleotides) under uncultured bacterium. RNAcentral describes it as "partial 16S ribosomal RNA". It matches the Rfam family "Bacterial small subunit ribosomal RNA", at positions 524 to 776 of the family's 1533-position model. The record is from RNAcentral.
UACGUAGGGUGCAAGCGUUGUCCGGAAUUAUUGGGCGUAAAGAGCUCGUAGGCGGUUCGUCGCGUCGGCUGUGAAAACCCGGAGCUCAACUCCGGGCCUGCAGUCGAUACGGGCGGACUUGAGUGUUGCAGGGGAGACUGGAAUUCCUGGUGUAGCGGUGAAAUGCGCAGAUAUCGGGAGGAACACCAGUGGCGAAGGCGGUACUCUGGGCCGGAACUGACGCUGAGGAGCGAAAGCGUGGGUAGCGAACAGG